This 217-nucleotide unclassified non-coding RNA is filed under the name uncultured Clavaria. Its description in RNAcentral is "sequence contains ITS2". Lineage: Eukaryota; Fungi; Basidiomycota; Agaricomycetes; Agaricales; Clavariaceae. The record is from RNAcentral.
AACUCCUCAAUACCAUUCAUUUGACUGGUGGUUGGAUGUUGAAGGUCUGCUGGUAAAUCCCAUCAUCAGCUCCUUUUAAAUACAUGAGCAGAACUACAUGCAACCAGCUCCAAUUUGAUAAGCUUGUUAUCUUUGUUGCUGCUGGGAAUGAAUAAUGUAAUUGUCUGCUACUAGCUGUCCUGACCAUUGGGACUUGCCUAAUGGGCAACAUUUGAAC